Molecule: long non-coding RNA, 529 nt
Organism: Piliocolobus tephrosceles (Ugandan red Colobus)
Lineage: Eukaryota; Metazoa; Chordata; Mammalia; Primates; Cercopithecidae
Exons: 2
Source: RefSeq, a predicted model, not a curated record
GGCCGCGGGCGACUCCUGGUACCCCCGAGGCCCCGCGAACUCACCUUCACAAAGCUGUCGGCGUCCGGGAAGCCUGGCAGUACCAUCUCCCCGUCGGAUUUGGUCUCGCUGGUAGCCGACUGGACCCUGCACUCGCGGGUACUGGGCGGCGCCAUUUUUUCGGCCUGCACGGCUUAUCUCGCGAGAGCGUCUCGGUCGACGCGACGGGACCACGCAUGCGCCAGGUAAGCUCCUGAAGAAAGCGUCUAGCUCCCACUGUGUUUCCUCCCUCCAGUGCCCUCUGAACUCCUCCAAAAAGACGUUCUUUCCUGCGGACACUGCUGGAACCAUUCUGGUUAACACAGAGUGGGAACUCAAUACACAUUUGUGAAGUGAACUCCUGGAAAAGCUCUUGUGAGGGAGGCACCAAAUGAUCAGGCAGCUCAGGAGAUAGAUUCACUCUCCUGAAAUCAGAGAUGGGAUGCCCUUAAUACAAUUCAUUCCACCCAUUAAGUGUUCAAUAAAUGUUCAGCAUAUUCAGUUAUGAGAA